UUNUGAACUGGGUGACUAGAGUGUNUCAGAGGGAGGUAGAAUUCCACGUGUAGCAGUGAAAUGCGUAGGGAUGUGGAGGAAUACCGAUGGCGAAGGCAGCCUCCUGGGAUAACACUGACGUUCAUGCCCGAAAGCGUGGGUAGCAAACAGGAUUAGAUACCCUGGUAGUNCACGCCCUAAACGAUGUCGAUUAGCUGUUGGGCAGCAUGACUGCUUAGUAGCGAAGCUAACGCGUGAAAUCGACCGCCUGGGGAGUACGGUCGCAAGAUUAAAACUCAAAGGAAUUGACGGGGACCCGCACAAGCGGUGGAUGAUGUGGAUUAAUUCGAUGCAACGCGAAGAACCUUACCUGGUCUUGACAUGUACGGAACCCUCCAGAGACGGAGGGGUGCCUUCGGGAGCCGUAACACAGGUGCUGCAUGGCUGUCGUCAGCUCGUGUCGUGAGAUGUUGGGUUAAGUCCCGCAACGAGCGCAACCCUUGUCAUUAGUUGCCAUCAUUAAGUUGGGCACUCUAAUGAGACUGCCGGUGACAAGCCGGAGGAAGGUGGGGAUGACGUCAAGUCCUCAUGGCCCUUAUGACCAGGGCUUCACGCGUCAUACAAUGGUCGGUACAGAGGGUAGCCAAGCCGCGAGGUGGAGCCAAUCUCACAAAACCGAUCGUAGUCCGGAUUGCACUCUGCAACUCGAGUGCAUGAAGUCGGAAUCGCUAGUAAUCGCAGGUCAGCAUACUGCGGUGAAUACGUUCCCGGGUCUUGUACACACCGCCCGUCACACCAUGGGAGUGGGGGAUACCAGAAGUAGGUAGGGUAACCGCAAGGAGCCCGCUU
RNAcentral lists this ribosomal RNA (828 nucleotides) under uncultured bacterium. Its description in RNAcentral is "bacterial SSU rRNA". It matches the Rfam family "Bacterial small subunit ribosomal RNA", at positions 626 to 1455 of the family's 1533-position model. The record is from RNAcentral.